RNAcentral lists this transfer RNA (77 nucleotides) under Yersinia enterocolitica. RNAcentral describes it as "tRNA-Arg". It matches the Rfam family "tRNA". From Rfam's summary of the family: Transfer RNA (tRNA) molecules are approximately 80 nucleotides in length. Lineage: Bacteria; Pseudomonadati; Pseudomonadota; Gammaproteobacteria; Enterobacterales; Yersiniaceae. The record is from RNAcentral. RNAcentral also lists the same sequence under 2 other names.
GCGCCCGUAGCUCAGCUGGAUAGAGCGCUGCCCUCCGAAGGCAGAGGUCUCAGGUUCGAAUCCUGUCGGGCGCACCA